This 7601-nucleotide long non-coding RNA is filed under the name Homo sapiens (human). Its description in RNAcentral is "non-protein coding lnc-ABHD12-1:7". Lineage: Eukaryota; Metazoa; Chordata; Mammalia; Primates; Hominidae. The record is from RNAcentral.
GCGGCAGCGACCUGUCCACGCCACCUGAGCGUGGUGUUUGCCCCCUCGUUGGGCAAGCCCGGCAGAAAGUGGGAGCGACUGGAGGGGGCAAGGGACCCGGGGCCUCGGAGCGUGCCGUCGUGGCCGCUCCUGCCAGCCCGGGGACGGUGCGGGAAGGGGGCCCUGCCCUCCGGCCCUCGGGUUCCUGGGACCGGCCCUCCCGCCCUGCACCGGGUCACCAGGUGCCCCGCGGGAGCGCGCUGGGCUCGGGCUGUGGCCGAGACCUGGUACACGUUCGGGGAAACUGAUUACAGCUUGAAAGGCAUCCACCAACGCCUGCUGGGCCCGGUCUUCUCUGUCCGGGGCAGGGCGGCUCUGAAAAUACCAGCUAUUUGCUUGCCACUCCAGGCCGAUGACAGACGUGGAGAAAACCAGCUGCCAGCGAGCUGGAGACGCCCGUUCCCGAGGGCGCGAGGCAGCCACAGCCAAAUGCCACCACGACCCCGCCUCGGAGGGACCGCAGCCCCCUAGCCCUCGGAGAAACCCUGUUCCCGAAACCACCUGGCAGACGCUGUCCGCUUUGAGAUUACAGCAGGGAGAAGGAAACAUGCCCGUCUGGCCGGGGAGCUCAGCCACUAACCGAGACUUAGCCUCUGUCAUCCCAAUCCAGGCUGCAGCUCCAGAUAGGGGGCGUCUGCACACAGCUUCCCACACUUGGCCCCGCGGAACACAGUCCUGCUGGCCUCAGCCUGUGGGAACCCUGCUUCAUGUAAAGGUCACCUAAACUCUGCCUUCCCUCAACCCCUUCAAACUCUGCCUUUCCCUUCGUUCUUGGGAGGCGCUCCCUCAUUGCAGUGGGUCAGUACACCCGAUUUUGUGGACCACAGGUUUGCUCCUGGUGGUCUUGGGCUGAAGGGGCUGCAAAGGUUACUGAAUUUCGUGGAGGUAAAAAUUGCCCGCAGGAAAUGUCAUGAAAGUCCAGGUGCAGUAGGUUUCCUGGUGUGAUGCUUCAAAGUUAUCUUCUUACCUGGAGCCCCUUCCAGCUGCAGACUUCAGAGGUCGGAGGUUAAUCAAUCUGGAAUGACCCCACAGCCCACCCAGCUCCAGCUCGGGAUUCACUCCUGCACUAUGUCCUAGGGAUUCUGGAGCCAACAAGAUCGAACUUCGGGCACAGAUGGCAGGGCUGUGGGGUCGAGCUUGGCUGCAAGCUCCGAACACUGAUGCAAUCUCUCUGAGGGUGAUCUGGCAAUUCAGAAGUCAUAAAAAUGAUAGUGCCCUAUGACCACUUCUACCACUCUGGGGAAUUGAGUUCAAGGAAAGCUUAAGAAGACAAAAAGCAAGUUAUGCAAAUAUGUUAUCUGCUGUGGUGUGGUAAAGUUUAAUCCCCCAGCUGUGGUGCACACCUGGCAAAGAAUGGAGGCGCUGACACUUAUUGAUCAUUACUUGCAGUGUACACGUAUUAACUCCUGAUCCCUGCAAAUAGCCUGCUAUUACCCCCGCUUGACAAUGGAGAAGUUAUCUUACCCAGAUGUCAUUUCCUCUUCCUGGGAGCUGCCAUGGUCCUUCCCCUCUCCUGCAGCACUUAGUCCAAUACUGAAUCUUCAUGAUGUGACUCUUCAUAAUGCGCAUGGUUGACGCAGGAAGGAGCCCUCUCACCAUCAUGUCUCCUCACCUCCUCUGGCCGCUAAUAUUGCUGAAGUGGCUAAAUGAGUCCCAGUAUUAAUUAUCUCAGCCAUUUUCAGGUAAUUUAUUUAUUUAUUUAUUAUUAAUGUUUUUGAGAUGGAGUCUUGCUCUGUCACCCAGGCUGGAGUGCAGUGGUGCAAUCUCCGCUCACUGCAACCUCCGCCUCCUGGGUUCAAGCAAUUCUCCUGCCUCAGCCUCCCAUGUAGCUGGGAUUAUAGGCACUCACUACCAUGCCCAGCUAAUUUUUGUAUUUUUAGUGGAGACAGGAUUUCACCAUGUUUCUGGGCUGGUCUUUAACUCCUGACCUCAGGUGAUCCGCCCGCCUCAGCCCCCCAAAGUGCUGGGAUUACAGGCGUAAGCCACCGCACCUGGCCAUCAUUUUCAAAUAAAUAAUUUUUAGAUAGUUUUAAGUGUUGUAAAGAAAAGCAGGUUGAGCUGUUAGUUACAGGAGGUGAUAUCUCAGCUGAGACUAAAAAAAAAAAAUGAAAGAAUGGACCAGGUGCAGUGGCUCACACCUGUAAUCUCAGCACUUUGGGAGGCCAGGGUGGGUGGAUCACUUGAAGUCACGAGUUCAAGACCGGCCUGGCCAACAUGAUGAAACCCCGUCUCUACCAAAAAUACAAAAGUUAGCUGGGCGUGGUGGCGCAUGCCUGUAAUCCCAGCACUUGGGAGUCUGAGGUAUGAGAAUCGCUUGAACCCGGAGGUGGAGGUUGCAGUGAGCCGAGAUUGCAGUCUGGGCGACAGGGCAAGACUCCAUCUAAAAAAAAAAAAAGGCAUGAAUGAAUCUGGGGGAAUAGCAAAUGCAAAGGUCCUGAGGUGGGCAUCCACUUGGACAGUUCACAAAAGAGGCAUCUGAGGGGCAUUGGGAUACACCACCCCAAAAUAUGCCUCUUCGCAUGUGGAUUAUUUUGAAUUAAAGGCCAUUAAGAACCAGCAGACCACAGGAAAGGCUCUAAAAACCAUUUUCAUUUUGUAAAAAAAAUUCACAUUUAUUAUAAAGGAAAUUUCCACGUCUCCCUCUUCCAUGCAAGGAAGAGGAUAUCUUGUAACAACUCUUAUCAGUGGAAGAAAGUACUGACUUAAGUCUGCAUAACAAACCUUCCUAAACAACCCUUGUUUACCAUACUUUUCCUGGGCACCUUCUGCUGAGGUUUGAAUAUACCCUCCAAAACUCAUGUUGAAAUUUAAUUGCCAUUGUAUAAGAGGUAGGACUGUUCAGAGGUGAUUAGGCCAUGAGGCCUCCACCCUCAAGGAUAGAUUAAUGCCAUUGUGGGAGUGGGUUGUUAUAAAAAUGAGUUUGACCCUCUCUUGUUCUGUCUCUUUCACCCUCUCUUGUACUUCCACCCUCCUUCCAUGGGACAAUGUAGCAUAAAGGCCCUCACCAGAUGCCAAUGCCAUGCUCUUGGACUUCCCAGUCUUCAGAACCAUGAGCCAGAUAAGCCACUUUUCUUUAUAAAUUACACAGUCUGUGGCAUUCUGUUACAGCAGCACAAAUAGACCAAGACACCUUCCCACUACAUGCCUCCCCUGCCCAGAAGCUCCAGGCCUUUUCCUUUAUGUCAGCCUAAGAUGAUAGAUGAACCCAAGUCCUGACCACACUUUGGGUUAUUCAUUGCCAGGUACUGCCACAUGUAAGUGCAAUGCACAUGCCAAUAAACUUGUUUUUUUCUUGCCUGAUUGAAUUGUCUUUGGCUGGUGUAAUUAGAGGCCCCCUAGCUGGAGACCCUAACAUGGGCUGGGGAAAAGAUUUUUUUCCUUCUGUAAAUAACCAAGAGUUGGAUUCAGCUUCAUCUUCCAUUUUAGCAACAAAACUGCCAGGCUUCAGAACAGGCAAAAUGGAAAGAAAUUGGGCUAUGCUUUUAUUUUAUAUAAAGCUGAAAAGCAGUUUUGCCCUUCUAAGAGAAAGGAUUGUUCUGGCAGCCUGGAUCAGAGCAGUGAUCAGGCCAGAGCAUCUGCUAACCUCAGCAUCAGGGAAUCCCUGUUUUAGACUGUCCUCUACGUCUCUGUCUUCUCCUUUUGGGAGGUAAUUUUUAAAAAAUCACUAAGAAGGGAUGGAUGCUGGUUCUGGUUUCGUUACUGUUGUAGGGAGCUAUUCUGUGUUGCUGGAGAUAAUACAUUACCUUUAAAGUUCUUUUAUCUUUUUGUUUUUGAGACAGGGUUUCAUGGUGUUGCCCAGGCUGGAAUGCCAUGGUGUGAUCACGGCUCACUGCAGCCUCGAUCUCCCAGGCUCAGGUUAUCCUCCCACCCCAGCCUCCCAAGUAGUUGGAACUACAGGUGCAUGCCACCACGCCCAGCUAAUUUUUGUAUUUAUUAUAGAGAUGAGCUUUCUCUAUGUUGCCUAGGCUGGUCUUGAACUCAUAGGCUCAAGCCAUCCACCCAACUCGGUCUCCCUAAAGUGUUGGGAUUACAGGCAUGAGCCACUGUGCCCAGCCUGAAGUUCUUUAAAUAGGUAUUUAAGAUUCUGUCUGUAGCAAGUCCCCUGUCAUCUGCCUCAGAAAAAGAGAUGAAAGAUGUCUUGUGAAUGGAAGAAGAUGCUGUGGGACUUAGAAGCGGGGUGUGGAAAACAGACAUUUUUGGUCGGCUAGGCUUAAGCUUCUUGAGGACCUGAAGAGUGUCUCAUUGAUCGCUGGUGAAAUGAGUGACUCAGAAGCACCGCCGGCCCUUGAGACCGCAGGUGCGGAGGGAAAAUCUCUCUGGGAUCCCAGCAACGCCACUGGCAGAUCUGUGCUGGUCAAUUUCGUGUUUGCAAAUGAACACAGACCCAGGCUUUCAGGAAACAGAGAUAAAUAACAAAUGCAUUAUUUUUGAGAGGCUGGUAAUUAUAAAGCUCGAGGGAAUAAAGAGCCCACCAGCUGGAAUGACACUGUGGAACUGAUGCCCUCCCUCCACUGGGGUGUGUCAACAGAUAUUCUUAGUGACAUUAAUGAUUUUAACACACUGACAUUAAAGGAAAAAGAAUCUAUUGAAGGGCUGGGUUGCCCCUCCACACCUGUGGGUAUUUCUCGUUAGGUGGAACGAGAGACUUGGAAAAGAAAAAGACACAGAGACAAAGUAUAGAGAAAGAAAUAAGGGGGCCCAGGGGACCAGCGUUCAGCAUAUGGAGGAUCCUGCCAGCCUCUGAGUUCCCUUAGUAUUUAUUGAUCAUUAUUGGGUGUUUCUCGGAGAGGGGGAUGUGGCAGGGUCACAGGAUAAUAGUGGAGAGAAGGUCAGCAGAUAAACACAUGAACAAAGGUCUCUGCAUCAUAGACAAGGUAAAGAAUUAAGUGCUGUGCUUUAGAUAUGCAUACACAUAAACAUCUCAAUGUCUUACAGAGCAGUAUUGUUGCCCGCAUGUCCCACCUCCAGCCCUAAGGCAGUUUACCCCAUCUCAGUAGAUGGAACAUACAAUCGGGUUUUAUACCGAGACAUUCCAUUGCCCAGGGAGGGGCAGGAGACAGAUGCCUUCCUCUUGUCUCAACUGCAAAGAAGCAUUAGUGAUACUGAGAAGAAAUGAAAUGGAGAUAGGGAAGAAGGAAGCCGCUCCUCUCUACAGGAUGCCAAAUCAAUGCAGGAGGAGAUUCUGAGAACUACUGGACAACGGCCACAGGGGAACAGGGGAUUCAUUCCAUCUCAAAGCCUCACCCUACACAUUAUCUUUAUUAGCUAUAAAAGGGAAAAGGGAUUUGCAAUGGAGAGUUAUGGCAGACUCCAGCCUCAUGAAGUGACACAACUUAGCAUUGCCACCCAGGGGACAAACCCACACUAUGAGUCUGAUUCAGUGCACCAAGAAGGACAAACAUCACUUACUCUGCUAUAACAUAACGCAGUAUAUUAUACACUAACAUAUGUAGUAUAUUACAUUACAUAAUAACAUAGUACAGGCUUCUAGGACACAGUUUAUAGAAGUGCAGAUAAUACUUGAGGCAGUUUCCCAAACUUGCAAAUAAAAACUCUCCACAGGGCUUGUGACUAGCACAUUCCCAAAGCCCCAAACCCAGAAUUCCACCUGCUUAGUGAGCACCUCCAGAGCACUUUUUUUUUUUUUUUUUUUUGAGACGGAGUUUUGCUCUUGUUGCCCAGGCUGGAGUGCAAUGGCAGGAUCUCGGCUCACUGCAACCUCCACCUCCCAGGUUCAAGCGAUUCUCGUGCCUCAGCCUCCUGAGCAGCUGGGAUUACAGGCACCCACCUAAUUUUUGUAUUUUUAGUAGAGAUGGAGUUUCACCAUGUUGGUCAGGCUGGUCUUGAACUCCCAACCUCAGGUGAUCCACCCACCUUGGCCUCCCAAAGUGCUAGGAUUACAGGCACGAGCCACUGCGCUCGGCCAUCUCUAGGGCAUAUUUUUACUGUGCAAUGUGGGAAUCUCUGCCAUAGGGUGGGCUGCCUUUCUAACCCAGUGGCCCGGUUCUAGCAGGACUUCCCCAGUAUGUGGAUGGGGGCACAGGGACUCUUGGGGGGGCCUCAAGGCAUCUGUGAGCUAGGCCUAACCACCGCUACUGAAUGACUGCGAGAUGAGUCCCAGAGCUGGGACGAGAGUGGGCCUGGUACCCUGCCCCAGCCCUCCCCUGACAGGAGUUAGUAAGGGACAGGUUAGCAUGCUAAAGAGAUAGCAAGCUGGUCACAGCCUAGGGCCACCACCCUUCUGUCUUACAAGUCAGAAACAUGUCCUGACUUUGGGGGAGAGGGUAUAUGUUAAACGGGCCCACCCUGGGAGCUGUAGUGGUCACUGUGGAGCUGAGCACUGGGCUGCACUCCUCGCUGCCCCAGAGUGACCAGGUGGGUGGUUUCAUCCAAGAGGCAGGGCUCAGAAGGCCAGGCUGAGCCACCGAUAUGCAUGUCUGCACCCCACCACUUCCUGCUCAGUCUGUAUCAGGCCCGGGAUGAAAUCGUCACUUAGACGCUCAGGGGUCCUCCCACCCAUCUGGCCAACACAAACCUGCCAGCAUAGCACUGAGUGGAAGGUUCCAGUGCACCCACAGGCCUGGCUGUUAAAAUGUCCGGCCUCUCCAGAGGACAGGUUAAGUUCACACUGAGAAAGCCUGGCUCUCUCCAGCUAGCCUGAAUUAAAGUGAGAAGGAUGAGCACAGCACCUGUGGAAAUGGCGCUGGAAAGCAAGUGUACCUAGGAACUGCCUCUGGGCCACCGAAGUGCGCCGGCCCAGUGUUCUCAGACAACCCAGGAGGAGUCCUCCAUCUGGCCACUUCCCACCCGUUAGGCCCCGAGGGGACACCAGGUUGGUGAGACCCGGACCCCACCAGCAAAGGACCCUUCCUUCAUUCAUCACACACUGGCUCCAUCUGCACUGCACCUACUGCCAGCCAGGCACUGAGCUUCACAUCCGCACAAAACACAAAGACCUCUGAUACGGUUUGGGUCUGUGUUCCCACCUAAACCUCGUGGUGAAUUGUGAUUAUGUUGAGUUGUUUUGGAGGUAGGGCCUGGUGAGAAGUGACUCGAUGAUGGGGUGGAUUUCUCAUGAAUGGUUUAGCACCAUCUCCUUGAUGCUGUUCUUAAGAUAGUGAGUUUUCACGAAAUCUGGUUGUUUAAAAGUGUGCGCCCCACCCCUUGCUUCUGCUCUGGCCAUGUGAUCUGCCUGCCUUCCCCUUCGCCUUCCACCAUGAUUGUAAGAUUCCUGAGGCCUCCCCAGAGGCUGAGCAGAUAUCGGUACUACGCUUGCUAUACAGCCUGCAGAACUAUGAGCCAAUUAAACCUCUUUUCUUUAUAAAUUACCCAGUCUCAAGUAUUUAGAGCAAUGCAAAAAUGGACUACUACAACCUCACGGUUCUGGAGGCUGAAAAGUCUAAGGAUGGAGUGUCCUUCUCAGUGUGCAGUCAAGAUGCCGGCAGGUUUGGGGCCUGGUGAGGCUCUUUGCUUCUUCCAUGGUGUCUUUUGCACGGUGCGUCCUCCGGAGGGGAGGAAGGCUGCAUGCUUACAUGGCAGAAGGUGAAAAGCCAAGAGAGAAC